RNAcentral lists this ribosomal RNA (391 nucleotides) under uncultured bacterium. RNAcentral describes it as "bacterial SSU rRNA". It matches the Rfam family "Bacterial small subunit ribosomal RNA", at positions 28 to 412 of the family's 1533-position model. The record is from RNAcentral.
GACAAACGCUGGCGGCGUACCUAAGACAUGCAAGUCGAACGGUUCCUCUGCGGGGGGACAGUGGCGGACGGGUGAGUAACGCGUACGGAACCUAUCACGGGGACGGGGGAUACCCCUGGGAAACCAGGGCUAAGACCGCGUACGCUCUCUUCCGGAAGGGGAAGAGAGGAGAGGAUGUCAUGAGGAGUGACAUCUGGCCUGUGCGGGGCGUGCGUCCGAUUAGCUAGUUGGAGGGGUAAGAGCCCACCAAGGCGACGAUCGGUCGCUGGUCUGAGAGGAUGAUCAGCCACACUGGGACUGAGACACGGCCCAGACUCCUACGGGAGGCAGCAGUUAGGGAACUUUCACACUGGGCGCAAGCCUGAUGGAGUAACGCCGCGUGAGCGAAGAA